This is a long non-coding RNA of Daphnia magna, 1368 nucleotides long. RefSeq lists it as uncharacterized. The transcript is spliced from 4 exons. NCBI's taxonomy places the organism in Eukaryota, Metazoa, Arthropoda, Branchiopoda, Diplostraca, Daphniidae. The record is from RefSeq and is a predicted model, not a curated record.
UUUAAUUUUUUGGACCAGUGGAUUGGUUUUUUUGACAUCUUUAAGGUAUUACUGUUGUUUGUAUUACUGUUGUAUUACUGUAAAAAUAUUAAUAUGUUGACAAAUUUAUUAAUUGAUCUAUAAUUGUUGAUGAUAUUAGUUGUUCCGACUAUGCAAAUGUAUUCUGCAGUCCUCGUUCCGCAUUUUAUGCUCGUCGCAGGGUGUUUUCCAUAAUAUACUAUGCAUACUACUGUGCACAAAGGAUGCUUUGAUUUAAUUUAUUAAAAUACUAACAGUUGUAUUUUUUUCCAUGUUCAAUUACCUGUCAAUGUUGCUAACUUAAAUAUAGUGUUUUGCUGUAGGUUGGUAUCGAUUCCUGUUGAUUCUGGGGAACACUGUUUUCAGUACUUCAAACUACGUUGAUGUUUUCUUGCAGCAUGGGAGAACUUUUUAUAUAGUUGUUUUGGAACCGUGACACUAUAAUACCUGCAGAAACUGUGCACAGCUUUUUGGAAUUGUUAUUCUGGCAUAAAAUUUCAUCGCAUCAUCUGAGAGUUACGAUUCAAGGUGACAAAAUAAUUGUUUUAUUAUUUUGAUUAUAAAAGAAAUAGGUGGUGAGCUCACUACAUAUAUUAGUGAACUACUCUGAUGAACUACAUGAUGAAUGAUACAAUACAGGUGCUGGCAUGCUAUCCAUGGCAAACUCAGGGCUAAACACUAAUCGAGGAUCCAUGGGUUCCCGCUUUACAGUACCAGUUUUUCCACCUUUACCAGAUUUCUUGUGUGCUAAAUUGUGAUUUUCAGAUUAUAUUGUUAUUAGUUGAUAAUUUUAUACAUAUAUAUAUAUUACUUUUUAGAUAUUCCUCAGUAAAUGAUGAUGUCAUCAAUUCACUGAGGAAUCUAUACAAUGUAUAUCCAGAAUUUUUCAGUGUAUCUAACGUCCAAUCUUCUGGUUUAAUGUUUUGUACUUUUGUUUCCAGAAGAGUUUUUAUUUUAGCUGGUAUUUUAAAUGUUGCUACGUCUGGAAACUUCUAAACAAACAAAAUUAUUAUAAGUAUUUUAUGAAAUGUGAAUUGUUUUAAAGUUGUGUAAUAAGUUAAAAUAUAUUUUAAUCGUGCAGUGUAUAGUUUUAACUUAAUGUAUAUAGUUUAUAGAUAGUUGUUAUAAAGAAUUAUUUACAUGUUAUCUACUUCUUAGAACUUAAAAUGAAUUUGUAUAUAGUAUUUAACCCUUGGAAUUUUUGUUUUUUAUAAAGAUAUACCUUUAAGUCAUUGUGAACCAUAUUCAGGUCUUGUUCGUCCUCUGAAUCCUCAUUGUGUUCUUCUACUGUUUUAAUUAUCACAUUGUUGUUCAUCUCUAUAUCAGGAAUUAUAAUGUUAUCUAUUUGCA